Long non-coding RNA from Podarcis raffonei (Aeolian wall lizard), 1898 nucleotides. RefSeq lists it as uncharacterized. NCBI's taxonomy places the organism in Eukaryota, Metazoa, Chordata, Lepidosauria, Squamata, Lacertidae. The transcript is spliced from 3 exons. The record is from RefSeq and is a predicted model, not a curated record.
CUGACAUUCAUUAAUUAACUCUUCACAGUUAUUUUUGCAGCAUUCCUGAAGGUCUUGUGUUACGUAAUUCUAUAAAUAAUGCACUAGUUUAGUAGACCAAUGGAAAUCAAAAUUAUCCCUUUGUUCCCCCCACCCCUCCUUUCCAGUAUCUACUCCUAUAAUUUCUGUUUUUGCUUUAUUUGUUUAUAUGCAGCCACACUUCCACAUUCGUUUCUCUGGUGCUGUUGAAGACUGCAUAGGAUUUGCUAGAGUUAACACGGUAUCAUCUGCGUAGAGCUUUAUUUUUUGCUGUUUUAUUUAUCUGUAUCCCUUUAAUCUCUUGAUUCUCCGUUAUCUCAGCAGCUAGUGGCUCAAUGGCGGAAACAAAUAAUAAAGGGGACGGAGGAUGCGCUUGCCUUGUCCCUUGAAAUAAAUAUACUUGAUAGUAUGCCAUUCACAAAAACGUCUGCUUAAUAAUAAUAAUAAUAAUAAUAAUAAUAAUAAUAAUAAUAAAUUUUAUUUAUAUCCCGCCCUCCCCAGCCGAAGCCGGGCUCAGAGCGGCUAACAUCAAAUGUAUAACACAUUAACAUAAAAUCAGACAAUCAAUUAAAAUACAUCCUCAAAUCAGAUGAGGAUCAGAAUAAAAUCCAAUCAGAUGGCAACCCGCAGAUUAGGGUUGGGGACCUUAAAUGUUCACCAGGCCCAACUGUUUAUGCUGAACUUAUAUGGGCCUGUGAGAAAAAUUGGGAGGCCACUUUCAUGCAAGUUCUUAUGAAAGGGAAGAGGGAGUCAGACUGAACCCCGACCAAAGGCCUGGCAGAACAGCUCCGUCUUGCAGGCGCUGCGGAAAGAUGUCAAGUACCGCAGGGCCCUAGUCUCUUGUGACAGAGCGUUCCAACAGAUUGGAGCCACAGCCAAAAAAGCCCUGGCUCUGGUUGAGGCCAGCCUAACCUCUCUGUGGCCUGGGACCUUCAGGAUGUUUUUAUUUGAAGACCGUGUGGCAGUGGAGGUGUCUUACCCCAGUAAUGGACUGGAUGAGAGCCAGCAAACUGAUGUUCCAUCCUGAUAAGACUGUCAGUGGGUAGUUCCCUAGGCUGGAUGGGAGUUUGCCUACUCUUGAUGAGGUUACACUCCCUCUGAAGAAGCAGCAGGUCCCUCCACAAAGAUGUGAAGCUGGAGUUGGGUGCCCCUUGUCAAAGCCUUUUCCAAAAUGCCCAGCUGCAGGUUUUUACUAUUCUCAACAAGGAAGGAAAUGGAGGACCCUGCUGUGGAAAUGGCUUAACUUGUCAGACUGAACCUGCUCCUGGAGAUCCCAGCCAUUGACCAUCAAGCUUGCUCCUAUCUGGAUGAUCCUGAAUUUUUACCUGCAUAAUUCUCAUCUUUGUCACGAUAGAGUGUUGGGAUGCUGAGAACUGGUUUCUAAGUCAUACAAUUUUUUGAACAAUAUGUAUUAAAUGUCUGUGUAUGCUACUCAUUUUUCUGAAAGCCUUUGUCUGAAUGAGUGGGAAAGGAUGGGUGCAUUAUGUUUUAGAAGGAAGAGAAAGCAAUAUACCAAGAGCUUCUUUUCCUACUAAUGCAUCAUCCAAACUAAGGUGGCCUGGGCAAUAACACAGUUUCAGUUUGUGCAAUGGCCAUUUACUUCAAUUAAGCUUCCACAGAACACUUUCUAGUGACCUGUUCUUACUUUGUUUGAAUUUGGGCCUGAAUAAAAUAUGAAAAUGGUAUUAAAUGCCUACGUAUUUCAGGAACCUGAAGCCAGAUAUCUCUUGUAUGGCAGACGUUUGCUUGACUAUCUCACUCAUAUAUAACCAAAGGGCAGGUGCAUUUACAAUUGUAAUUUGCUGUUCAUAUUAGAAAGUGCUCUGUACCAUAGAGAAAACAAAUCUAGUUUACUUCAAAAAUUACCUGGCUGGAGAAAA